UUAAUUGGAUAAAUUAAACAUGGACGAAUAGACGUGAGUCAAUGUCGAAACUCGCCACCUUCCGUAGAGGAUUUUCUUGAUUUUCGUACUGUUUCUGACGCUUCCUGCCACAAUGUCUGAUCUAGACGUGUCUUCCUUUUCCCUGGAAGACCUGAAGGUAGAGAUCGGACGACUGCAGCAGGAAUUAACGGAAACGAACCAAGAAAAGAUCCGAGCCGCGGAGUACGGAUUGGCCGUUCUAGAAGAACGGAAUCAUUUGGAAUCCAAGAUUGAGGAGCUUGAUGCUCAAGUCGAAGCUCUAAAGAUAGAGUUGGAACAUGCUAAGGAGGCUCUUAGCAAACACCAAGUGACAUUUCGGAAACAAAAUGAGAGUGGUAAUAAUUUGGAGGACAGCAUCAUUCAAGAGUCAGCCUCACGUGAAGACGGAUAUAGGGAGAACAUCACAGAACUUGAAUCAGAGCUUAAAAAUGUCAAACAAAACAAAGAGCGACUUUUCUCUGAGCAUGCCACUAUGGCCAGUUUGGUUUCUGAUUUGCAAACAAAGGUUGACCAGCUUGAAGAUCAGAGGCGACAGCUUAAAAGUGAACUAAAGGAGUUUAAGAUCAGAGAAAAUAGAAAUAUGAUCGACUAUUCAGAGUUAGAAGAGGAAAAUAUAACUCUUCAAAAGCAGGUCUUGGUUCUAAAACAAAGUCAGGUUGAGUAUGAGGGUUUGAAGCAUGAAAAGAAAAGGCUUGAAGAAGAACUUGAUGAUUUGAACAUGCAGCUAGAUGAAAGUGUUUCAUUGAAAAAGAUUGUUGAUAAAAACCUUGAGGAAGCGUUGAAUGCCUUGCAAGUUGAACGGGAGCAAAAACAUGCAUUGAAAAAAGAGUUAGAUACAAGACUGACACAGGAAUCGAUGUUCAAUUUGAGUAAUUUGGCUCAAUUAGGCGGCCUCAGUGAUGGACUUCGCUUGAACAGUCAUGAUGAUCAUGACAUGGACGAUGACAGCCAUCACCCGACUCUGAAACGAGUGGAAGCUGAUAUGGAAAGCAAGGAUAAAAGUGGUCAGUCGACUAGGAAAGGACCUGGAAAAGUAAAUGACAUCCUUAGUGAAAUUCAGCAAAAUGAAGUUAAGAAAUUAGAGCAAUUGCUUGAACAGAGUGAAGAAGAGAAGUCAGAGAUGCAAAGGGCGCUUGAUGAAGCCAAGAAGCUCAUUGAAGACACACAAAAAGAUCUGAUUGAGCAGAAAGAUCGGGCAAAUCAGUUGAAAUCUCAGAUAUCAAAUGCUCUUGGUGUAAAUGGUAGCCUACCUUCCCCUGAAAGUGAUGUAGCUGAAUUUUUUGAUAAAAAAAUUGCAGAGGAAUCUGAUCAAGAAAAAAAGGCACUGUUAGAACUGAAAAAGAAUCUUUUGUUAAAUGAAAAUAAGUAUUCAACCGCUUUAAAACAAAUCGGAGACUUGCAGACUGAAAUCAGUAAACUGAUGGAGAAAAAUAUUCAAGGUAACUUCACUCCAGGUGAUCCUAAGGUAACUGAAAGUCUCACUCUGCUUCAGUCCAAAUGUAAACAGUAUGAAGAUGCAAUCAAAGAAAUGGAUAGAGACUUGAGGGUCUUCUCUAAAAUAGCUGGUGAAUCUCAGAGUUCUUUGAAUACAACUCAAGAUGAAAUGGUUAAAGUAACAGAAGAACUUGCACAGUUAUAUCAUCUUGUUUGUGAAGUUAGUGGAGAAACACCAAGUAGAGUAAUGUUGCAACAUGCCAAAGCUAUUGAUAAAAUUACUAAACCAGAUUCUAGGGAUGGUAGCGAAGAAGCAGAUGAAGAAGGCACUUCUCCUGAGAAAGAUUCUGUCUCAGGUAAGAAGAAGAAGUCAAAAGCAAAGAAAACUUCAUUAGAAAUUUUGGAUAACACAUUGAAGGCUGAUGCUAGUUCAUGUUCAAAAUUGACCGAAACCAUUCUAGAUCAAACUAAACAUCUGAAGAAGUCUGUUGAACAUUUAAUGGAAGUCUCAAGAAACAGGACUGAUGAUAGUGAGCAGUCUGAUGUCCAGGAGUUGCAAGAACAGAUUGUGAAAUUAAAGGCAAUGUUGUCAACCAAACGAGAACAGAUUGCAACAUUGAGAAGUGUGCUGAAAGCGAACAAAGCUACUGCAGAGUUUGCAUUAGCAAAUCUGAAACAAAAGUAUGAAAAUGAAAAGGUUAUUGUAACUGAGACAAUGAUGAAAUUAAGAAAUGAACUUAAAGCCCUGAAGGAGGAUGCAGCCACAUUUGCUUCUCUGCGAGCUAUGUUCGCCCAGCGAUGUGACGAGUAUGUUACCCAACUGGAUGAGUACCAGAGGCAACUUGCAGCAGCUGAGGAAGAAAAGAAGACAUUGAACUCUUUACUGAGAAUGGCAAUACAACAAAAGCUAGCCUUGACCCAACGACUGGAGGACAUGGAAUUUGAUCGUGAGAGGCGAACUAUGAGACGUCCACAAGGGGGUGGGGGAGGAAGAAACAAAUCAGGGGCUUCAAAAGUAAGUCACUACAAUGAUGAACAGUCAUAUAGUGGUCGCUAUGGGGGAGGCAGGCACCAAAACUAUCAAACCCAUCAUAGUUAUUCAAAUCCACGAAGAGAUUAUUAGGGCGCUGGUCCUCCAUCCUUGCGACGGCGGGUUCUUUUGUUUUCGGUUUUAGAUGCAAUACAACAUGCCUUUGACUGAGAGCUCAGUCCAUUGAGUGACCACCAGUAUGGAAUCUAGCAAUGGCUUCUUGUAAUUGCUGACCCAUUCGGCGACCCAUUCAGCUUGUGUCAACCAUGGCCUGCUUGUUGCACAUGUGUCAUACCAAAGAGUUCACAGAUGUUCCAGUCAUGACCUUGGCCCAGAUCAAAGGUCAAGGUCGCUGUUUGCCAUAUUGAUAUUACAUGUGAUAUUUAUAUAUCUCAUUCAAACUUAGAAAUAGUACUGUUUAUCUCCUGAAAUUUUGUCCAAGGGGAGAUGUGCCAGUAAUAUGCUGCUACCUUUUACAGUGAACCUGUGUUUGCAUUGUCAUAUUAAUGGAAUUAUUAUCCUGUAUUAAGGAUCCAAGAGACAAAAUUGAUAUUGGUAACCAUAGCAACACAGUUCAGACUGGGGUAGCAGCGAAGUGAGCCAGUAUCAAGGUCAUGUUGACCUUUUAGAAAACAUUAAAAUAUAUAUAUAUAUAUAUAUAUAUCAUAGCAUUGCAUGACAUUUUGUAUAUAUUGAUGUGGGAGAAAUAUUAUAGUGACUUUACCAAUGUUUAACAGCAAAUCAGUGUUAGCUCCUGUCACUAAAUGUUUAGCUAUCUGUGAUGAUCUAUUGUCUAUAGCAACUGUUUUACUGUAGAAAUGUUACAUUAUGUUCAGAUUUUAUAUUCAAAGAAACAAUCUUUAUAAUCUAAUACUUUAUGUUUAAGUCACUUUGGUCAUUAUUUUAUAGUUUGAUUAUUUUUUUUAAUGAUGAUAUAUUGACAACUUUAACGUAAAACGUUUAAUGAAAAUAUUUAUUUAUAGAGAUUUGGUUGAAGUCUAUGGUUAUCUCAUUUUAAAUAGUUUUAUUUUAGUUUGGUGCUUGUAUUUUACUUUGUUUUUACUAUCAGCUGGGCUGUGUAUUUUAAGCUGCUUGUUAAUAUUGUAUAAGUCAUUUAUUGAGAUUGAUAUGUUUUCAAAUUGAACUUAAUCAUGAUAACCUUUAAAUCUUGUAUUGGUUAUACAUUAAACAGGCCAUUGAGAGCUUUAGCCUAUUUCUUAAGAAUUCUUUACUGGUGUUCAAUUUUGCAUGUCAUGGGUUUGGUGUUAAAGUGUGCUAUUUGGUAUAAAGAAUCUUUAAUUAGAUAGCACAGUUUUUCACUCAACCUAUGCUAUACAGGGAACUGAAAGUGUUCAUUGUUUGAUGUAUUUAAUGAUCAAAGUAAUAUGAGCUUACUCCACUGUUAUGUAGUUAUCCAAUUAAUUCUUGAUUUAGCAAUCUGCCUACCUCAUGCAGUGUUUAAUGAGACUUAUGAGUUGUAUUCUAUUGUUGGUAAUUUCUUUUGAAAUUUGAGUUAAUUGUUACAACAUGUUUCUGGUACAAGAAUGCAUGAAGAUCAAAUUUUUGAUUUCUAGAAUAAAUAUUUUAGUAGAAUUUUUAACUAAAUUGAUGUUAAAGUGGCCUGUGUAUAUCGGCUUUAGACUUGUAAAGUAAAUGUAUUACCUAUGCUUAUUCUGGGUUUUAAUUGUAUGAAUUUAGUUGGUAUAUAUUUAUUAUUUAUUUAUAACAUUAGUUGUAGAUUUUACUUCAACAUUGAUUCCUUCCUUUUACUUUGUUUUCUGCUACAUGCUUAAACUGUAACAAAAUAUUUUGACAACAUUUUUAUCAAUAUCUUCCUUAUUGAUACUACUUAAAAGUUCUAUAAAAAAUAUUCAAAUAUAGCGUCAUUUUUGUAUGUUUAUAUUCCUUAGAUGUAAAAGUUUUGUGUACUUGUGGGUGGCAAAUUAAUGUCGCAGGAAAAUGCAUUUAUAAUAAAUAAUUUUAAACAAUUGUACAUAAUUUUAUUUACCUUGGGGAAAGUCCUUGGUUUGUAUGGUUUAAAUCGAAAAGGUUGGAAUCACAGUUUUAUUAACUGGUUUAACAUUAGUUUUACAUCCAGGAUAUAUUUUACAAAUGGUGAAUGCAUUUUAAAGGCUUUUGUAUUCUGUUUGCAUGGACUGAAGUGUUGAGAACUGUUUUUAAGUCAUUCAUUUGAUAUGUGUAUAUUCAUUGUUUGUCCAUUAUGUGUCGAACAAAGAAACAAAAUUAA
Molecule: RNA transcript, 4751 nt
Organism: Mya arenaria
Lineage: Eukaryota; Metazoa; Mollusca; Bivalvia; Myida; Myidae
Gene name: protein bicaudal D-like
Exons: 5
Source: RefSeq, a predicted model, not a curated record